This 516-nucleotide ribosomal RNA is filed under the name uncultured bacterium. RNAcentral describes it as "partial 16S ribosomal RNA". It matches the Rfam family "Bacterial small subunit ribosomal RNA", at positions 28 to 523 of the family's 1533-position model. The record is from RNAcentral.
GAUGAACGCUGGCGGCGUGCCUAAUACAUGCAAGUCGAACGCAUUGAGAGAAGUGCUUGCACUUUUCAAUUUGAGUGGCGAACGGGUGAGUAACACGUGGGCAACCUACCUGAUAGCGGGGGAUAACGAGUGGAAACAUUCGCUAAUACCGCAUAACAAUAGAGAAGGGAUCUUCUUUAUUUAAAAGGCGCUUUCAAGCGUCACUAUCAGAUGGGCCCGCGGUGCAGUAGUUAGUUGGUGGGGUGAAGGCCUACCAAGACGAUGAUGCAUAGCCGAGUUGAGAGACCGAUCGGCCACAUUGGGACUGAGACACGGCCCAAACUCCUACGGGAGGCUGCAGUAGGGAAUCUUCCACAAUGGACGAAAGUCUGAUGGAGCAACGCCGCGUGUGUGAUGAAGGCUUUCGGGUCGUAAAGCACUGUUGUAUGGGAAGAAAUGCUAGGCUAGGAAAUGAGCUUAGUUUGACGGUACCAUACCAGAAAGGGACGGCUAAAUACGUGCCAGCCGCCGCAGUAA